RNAcentral lists this unclassified non-coding RNA (1129 nucleotides) under Trichogramma pretiosum. Its description in RNAcentral is "uncharacterized LOC106658681, transcript variant X2". The record is from RNAcentral. Lineage: Eukaryota; Metazoa; Arthropoda; Insecta; Hymenoptera; Trichogrammatidae.
AAAUAAUGUUUAUAAUAUUGUAUGUACUCUGAAGUUAGCUUGAUCAUGGAUUAUUCAUCUCCUCGUGUAAUUCUGUAUUCAUCGAGCAUACUUUAAUUAUUGGUUAGAUUAUUCAUUAUAGCCGUACGACAGGAUUUUAAAAUAUCACUAGAUCUGUCGUACGGACAGGUGGAGCCUACUUAAAUAAUUGAAUUUUGCUAAUGGAGUGCACCUUCAAAUAUGUUUACACCAAAACAACCUUAUUUUUAUCGGACGAAUAAACAGUUUUCACUGCUCAAAUUAGUCGACCUUUAUGAUAAAGACUCUUUCAUUCGUGAAUAUCUGUUAGAUAAUGUGUUCGUUUGUAUUUUUAUGUACAUACUAUUCUACUUUGCCAUUUGCUACGCUCACAAGGUUAUCAAGCAAAUCGAGGACAAAAAUGAAGAAAUGAUCGCCAAAGUGAAUUUAAAUCGAACGAAAGUAAAUGAUAUGAUAGCAAUAAAAAAUCAUCGCAUGGAAUAUGAAGAAGUUGUUAUGAAUACGAAAAAAGCACAAAAAAUAACUACGAAACAUUUGGACAGCGAGAUAAAGCGAUUAAGUACAAAACUCAUGAAAACACAGGGCAAAUUAAACGAGCUUGAAAACUUUGUAGCAAAGUGGAAGUAUUGGAAAAGUUGUACGGAGCGAACGAAGAAAAUGUCAAAUUGUAAUGGUGAAUAUCAUCAAGACGAAAUUGAUCCUGAAAUAGAGAUCAAUGACGUUAAGAUAUUGGACCCGUCUUUUCCACCGUCGAACCCGCCAGAGCCACCACCGAGGAAGUUUGGAGUCUUUGCUCGACCACCCACAAUGUCAGGUGGUUCGAAAAUAGGGUUCAAAUAGUGGAGUCAUGAACGAAAAUUCCUAUACAAAUUCAUUUUACCGAGAUUCAAAAUCAUCAAGAUACCAAAGAGGUCAGGAAAAUCGUGGGCGAACAAUUUUUUUAGGCUUUAAGAAUUUGCAGAGAUGAGAGAAUCGGUCUACGAAACAAAACCUCAACAAUUGGACACGUCACUUACUUUAUAAAAAUAUAUCAAAAAUAGCUUAAUUUAAUGAUUUGCGAUCAAACAGAAGUUCAAAUUUCAACAGAAAAAAUUAGAAACGUAUGAAUAAA